Molecule: non-coding RNA, 1637 nt
Organism: Anas platyrhynchos (mallard)
Lineage: Eukaryota; Metazoa; Chordata; Aves; Anseriformes; Anatidae
Source: RefSeq, a predicted model, not a curated record
UGGACCUCAGCUCUUGACCUUGAAGCUGCUGUUUACAACAGCAGUAAAAUGUGGCGUCACUCUGCUGGGCUUUUGUACAGAGAGGGUCUGGCCCUGGUGAGCAGUGCCUGUUAUUACAGAGCUGUGACUCGUGCAGGCAAGGAGGGCAAAAGGCACUGUGGGGUAUGGCACUGGUGAUAAAGAAAAAUCUCUCACAAGAUUCUGGAAAUAGCAUAUGGUAGCUUGUGAUGAGAGCAGGAGGCACAGCUGGUUGUUUUUUCUUUUGAGUUCUCCUGAAUUUUCUGUCUCUUUGGGGGUCGCUCCAUGGUGGUCCUGUGCUAUGGCUGGUGUGGGGCACCCUGAAGGGCUGUGGGGAGAGAGUCUGGAGCAGUCCCCAGUCUGUGGUGCUGUGUGGGCAACAGUGUUUUCUUGUUACUCGUAUACUUGUAAAGGCGUGCUGAGAAGUCCCCUAAAGGACAGACAGUCUGCUGACAUGGAUGCAGAGCACGGCCCUUGCUCUCACUGCCUUGCCAUCAACAGGAUGCAAGUCCAAAGGGCUCUGAGACUGCAUUUUGACUGCAGGAGGUCCCAAAUCCAAGCUCCCCACCUGCUGCUGAGAGGACAUAGAAGAGGAUACAGUGGAACUUGCUGUUCUGCAAGACACUGAGGGCUUUUUUCAGCACAUGCUAAUCCUUGAGUCAAUGGAAGACCUAAGCAAGCAUUUAAAGGUGUCCCAAGCCUCUGAGGCCAGAGGGAAGAUCUAAGCCAAGGAAGAAGGACGAAGGGAAAAUCAUGCUUCACCAUCUAGAAGGAGAUGAACAGGAGGGUUGGACCAGGUGACCUCCAGAGGUCUCUUCCAACCAAACAGUUCUGCAGCUCUGAUCUUCUAGUUUCCUAAUGAUCACUUCACAGAGCAGACACCAUACAACAGCUCAGUGCAGGCCUGGGGGAUAGUAGCAGAUGACUCAUGGACUGGACACCAGUGGCAACGCGUUUACCCCGUGUCUGUUGGCUGAGUGCUACUGACUGAAAUCGCUGGCUCUACCUCAGUUUGCAGCAGCAAAGUGUCUGGUCUUGCUCGGAUCUACUUGAGAAAUGGCACUUACUGUUCUUAUCCACAUUCUCACCUUAUGAAAUCUCUGAGUGCGUGCCAAAGUAUCUCAUGGCUUACCUCCCCCACAAGGGUGGACAGAUUUAGGGAAGCUCUAAACAGCACAGAGAAGGACCAUGGUUUGCUCUCUUGCUUUUACUUAACUGGCCAACAGGUGAAUCCUGAGUGAACAGGUCAGCUCAGGAACAAGAAGGAUCUAAAGAGAUCAACUGUAACAGUGACUCUGCCCUUCCUGUUGGUGUUGAGAUUAUCAGCCUGCGAGUAUUGUUCCUUCUUUCUUCUGACUUGUACGUACCUCUUUGGACAAUGUAGUGUGCAAACCCAUUGUUCAUACUCCACUGAAGUGCUGUUAAUCUAAGAGUUAGGAAAUUGCUAGUUCAGAGGUAGGGGAGGAGAAAGAGAUUUACUGUGGGAAAAAGCACCAGAAGCCCACUGGUGGAGGGGAGCUGAGGACAGUGAUGCAUCAGCACCCCAGGGUCAGAACUUUCCUUCUGCAGCUGUGUGUGUUUGUGAAUAAAUAUGUUAAUCCGGUAUUAAUGAUGCCAAA